Molecule: ribosomal RNA, 253 nt
Filed under: uncultured bacterium
Lineage: Bacteria
Description: partial 16S ribosomal RNA
Rfam family: Bacterial small subunit ribosomal RNA
Source: RNAcentral
UACGUAGGGGGCGAGCGUUGUCCGGAUUCAUUGGGCGUAAAGAGCUCGUAGGCGGCCAGGUAGGUCGGUUGUGAAAACUGGAGGCUCAACCUUCAGAGGUCGACCGAAACCAUCUGGCUAGAGUCCGGGAGAGGAGAGUGGAAUUCCUGGUGUAGCGGUGAAAUGCGCAGAUAUCAGGAAGAACACCCGUGGCGAAAGCGGCUCUCUGAAACGGUACUGACGCUGAGACGCGAAAGCGUGGGGAGCGAACAGG